UAAAAUCUUCGGGGUUGGGUGAAAUUCCCUAUCGGCGGUACAGCCCGCGAGCUAUAAUUAGCAGAUUCGGUUAAAUUCCGAAGCCGACAGUAAAGUCUGGAUGAAAGAAGAUAGUG
Molecule: non-coding RNA, 116 nt
Filed under: Clostridium sp.
Lineage: Bacteria; Bacillati; Bacillota; Clostridia; Eubacteriales; Clostridiaceae
Also listed under: 1 other name
Description: FMN sequence
Rfam family: FMN riboswitch aptamer (RFN element)
About the family: The RFN element is a highly conserved domain that is found frequently in the 5'-untranslated regions of prokaryotic mRNAs that encode for flavin mononucleotide (FMN) biosynthesis and transport proteins. This element is a metabolite-dependent riboswitch that directly binds FMN in the absence of proteins.
Source: RNAcentral